RNAcentral lists this ribosomal RNA (1778 nucleotides) under Colacium sp. Gietzel081903-G. Its description in RNAcentral is "LSU rRNA". It matches the Rfam family "Bacterial large subunit ribosomal RNA", at positions 1000 to 2782 of the family's 2925-position model. Lineage: Eukaryota; Euglenozoa; Euglenophyceae; Euglenales; Euglenaceae. The record is from RNAcentral.
AUAGUUCAUUGUCAAGAGGGAAACAGCCCAGAUCACCAUUUAAGGCCCCUAAAUAACUACUAAGUGAUAAAGGAUGUAAAAGUACGUUGACAACCAGGAGGUUUGCUUAGAAGCAGCAACCCUUUAAAAAGUGCGUAAUAGCUUACUGGUCUAGUGCUUUUGCGCCGAAAAUGAACGGGUCUAAGUAGUUUGCCGAAAGUGUGAGAUUUUUAAUUUAUUAAAAUCGGUAGAAGAGCGUUCUGUUUUAGUGUGAAGCAAUAAUGAAAAUAUUUGUGGACUAAUCAGAAGUGAGAAUGUCGGCUUAAGUAACGAAAACAUUGGUGGAAAUCCAAUGCCCCGAAAACCUAAGGUUUCCUUUGCAAGGUUCGUCCACGAAGGGUUAGUCAGGUCCUAAAGCGAGGUUUAAAAACGUAGCUGAUGGUUAACAGGUUAAUAUUCCUGUACUUCUUUUAUUAUAUUAAGUGUAACGGAGAAGGCUAAGCCAGCCAAAUAUUGGUCGUUUUGGUUUAAUCUUUAGAGGUUUUGAGAAUUAUUAUUAUAAAAAUAAUUUUGAGCUGAUAAGAAAAUACAAGAAAUACUACGGUGUUUUGAGUGGUCUACGUCAUACUUCCAAGAAAAACAUUUUUAAUUUUUAAUAAAAGUAUCUGUACCUUAAACUGACACAGGUAGGUAAGUAGAAAAUACUAAGGGGCGCGAGAUAACUCUUUCUAAGGAACUCGGCAAAAUGACUCUGUAACUUCGGGAGAAAGAGUGCCUUAUUAAAAGUAAGGCCACAGUAAUCAGACCCAGGCGACUGUUUACCAAAAACACAGGUCUCCGCUAAGUUGUAAAACGAUGUAUGGGGGCUGACGCCUGCCCAGUGCCGGAAGGUUAAAGAAGUUGGUUAGCAUUAGCGAAGCUAGUAACUGAAGCCCUGGUGAACGGCGGCCGUAACUAUAACGGUCCUAAGGUAGCGAAAUUCCUUGUCGGGUAAGUUCCGACCCGCACGAAAGGCGUAACGAUCUGGGUACUGUCUCAGAAAGAGGCUCGGUGAAAUAGAAUUGACUGUGAAGAUGCGGUCUACUUGCACUUGGACAGAAAGACCCUAUGAAGCUUUACUGUAACUUGAUAUUGUUUUUGGAUUUUCUUUGCGCAGCAUAGGUGGGAAGCUUUGAUCUUACUUUUUCGGGAGUUUGUGAGCUGUAAUAUGAGAUACCACUCUGAGAAAAUCAGAAUUCUAAUAGUAUUCUUUUAUCAAGGUACUUGACAGUGUCAGGCGGGCAGUUUUACUGGGGCGGUAGCCUCCUAAAAAGUAACGGAGGCGUACAAAGGUUUUCUCAUUCUAGACGGAAAUUAGUUGUAGAGUGUAAAGGCAUAAGAAAGCUUGACUGUGAGACCUACAAGUCGAACAGAGACGAAAGUCGGUCUUAGUGAUCCGACGGUUCUGAGUGGAAAGGCCGUCGCUCAACGGAUAAAAGUUACUCUAGGGAUAACAGGCUGAUCUCCCCCAAGAGUUCACAUCGACGGGGAGGUUUGGCACCUCGAUGUCGGCUCAUCGCAUCCUGGAGCGGUAGUACGUUCCAAGGGUUGGGCUGUUCGCCCAUUAAAGCGGUACGUGAGCUGGGUUCAGAACGUCGAGAGACAGUUCGGUCCAUAUCCGGUGUGAGUGUUAGAGUAUUGAAAGGAGCCUUCUUUAGUACGAGAGGACCGGGAAGGAUGCACCUCUGAUCCACCAGUUUUUGUGCCAACAGAAUACGCUGGGUAGUCACGUGCAUAGUGGAUAACUGCUGAAAGCAUAA